This 1886-nucleotide unclassified non-coding RNA is filed under the name Leishmania donovani. Its description in RNAcentral is "gene:LdHU3.27.3730(CDS-product:hypothetical_prote in_conserved)". The record is from RNAcentral. Lineage: Eukaryota; Euglenozoa; Kinetoplastea; Trypanosomatida; Trypanosomatidae.
CCGCUGCCUCCCCCCUCCGAGCGGCUCACUUGGGGGUGGUGGCCACACCCGCGCACAGGCAGUUUUGAUUUGUGGCGUUGCGUGGCGACGCAGAGGUGAGCUGAGCUCUCAGGCUGCGCCGUCUGGCAUUCACUUGCGAGCGUCCGAUGCACCGCUCAACGCGUCAACGACACGCGCCGCCCGCCGCUGUCAGGAGAGCGGAGGAUGCAACCGUGCCGUCGUCCCUCAAGAAAGACCCUCUGCCUGUGUGCAAGAGGCGGGAGGCGGCCACACGCAGCGCACAGCUCACCGAUCUGUUUGACAGUCUCUCAGCUGCGGAUGCCAAGGCGCUGCAGAGCACCCAGCUCGGUGAGGAUUUUGCUGAUGACUUCACUAAUGAGGGCGCGGAAGGCCUUCUCUCGGCAACGCUGUUCUCGCGGCGGCCGCCGCUCUCGACCUCAGCGCCUCCCGACCACGCUGCGAAUGGUGUUAGCAGCUCGUCGACUGGUGAAUUAGUUCUUCGAAGUGGCAGGGCUGCUGCACCCUCCACCAACAGCCAUGACCUGCCACGCCCGUUUCACGAGCAGGCACUCGCCGUGCGGUCGGUGGAGGUCGCGGCCACUGAGAUGCAGUCGACACUGCAGCAGCUGCAACACGACCUCGCCUUUCACGUCAAGAGACGCAUCGAGGCAGAGCGCGAAGCGGGCGGCCACUUGGCCUCAGCUCCCCGACCCCGUCCAUCAAGUGACUCGGAGUCCGUCACCCCACUGCGGGCUGAGACGACGGCUGCGCAGCAGCGCCGCAUGGCCGACUCGGAUGUGCUCUCCGAAGCUGCCCGCAUUCAGCGCGCUCGCGCCGCCGCGGCCGAUGAAGGUCUCUCCGACGAUCAGUCCGUCGAGGACUACGGCGUCGACUGCGAGGUGCCGCCGCUGACUUCGGACAGCCGCUUGGUGGACGAAGUGGCGGCCAUAGCGGUGUGCAUGGCGAAGAUGAAGGAGUCCGCCAAAGUCAUGUAUGACACCGAGGCCACUGCGCCGAGCACGUCAACCGCGCCAUGGUGGUCCUCUGCGCUGCACAUGCGGGACAUGAAGGCGUCCGCGGCCCGGCUUGACUACCAUGCCCACACCGCAUUGAACUGGUCGCACCGCUCGAUGGAGCAGCUGCUCUUGCAAGCGGUCAUGCUCAACAACGUGUCGGUGAGCACGCGCACGCAGCUCCUCGAGCAGCAGCAACACUGGCAGGAGUUCCAGACUCGACUUCGCGACGGCCAGCAGACCGUCACGCAGCUGCAGGCGGACAUCGCCCGAUACCAAGCGCGUGUGCAAGCUGAGAUGGCGCGUCGUGCUGCCCUGCAGGAGGAGCUGCGCCUCUGCGCGCAGGAGAGGGGCCUUGUUGACCCUGGCGAGCGCAACCCACUGAAGGCAGAGCUGGCGCUGCUGCUCGAGGAGCGCGAGUGGCCCUCUCCUACGCUUAAGAAGGACGCGAGCGUUGUGCUGGACUGGCUGCGGUCCGUCUCGACUACUCUCGAGUGAGUCUCAAUUCGUGCGGCGGUGCGAGCAGCGCGGCAACGGGGAGGGAGUGCGGCUCUGUCUCUGUGGUCGUGAUGGUGGUGGUCGUUGCGGCAUCCGGCUACGCACACUUGCCCCAGGGGGGAGGGGCCGCACCCUCGUCCUGCUGCGCAGCUAACUCACCCGCUCCACCACAUAUGUGAGGCGCUCACCUUUUUACGCAUUCUCUCCCACCCAUGUACAGCUUCAUGUUGCGCGGUGUGCGCUGCGUGCGAUGCAGCGCACAGCACCGCCAUGCAACGUACCACGUCCCGGCACUGCGGCAUCUCUCUCCAACCCAACACAGCACACACCGCGCCCCCUCUUCUCUCCAUGACUCCAAUACCGGCGUGCGCGCAC